This 253-nucleotide ribosomal RNA is filed under the name uncultured bacterium. Its description in RNAcentral is "partial 16S ribosomal RNA". It matches the Rfam family "Bacterial small subunit ribosomal RNA", at positions 524 to 776 of the family's 1533-position model. The record is from RNAcentral.
UACAGAGGGUGCGAGCGUUAAUCGGCUUUACUGGGCGUAAAGGGCGCGUAGGCGGUAAGAUGAGUGUGGUGUGAAAGCCCCGGGCUUAACCUGGGAAGUGCAUCACAAACGAUCUAACUGGAGUAGAUGAGAGGGUGGCGGAAUUUCCGGUGUAGCGGUGAAAUGCGUAGAGAUCGGAAGGAACGUCAAUGGCGAAGGCAGCCACCUGGCAUCAUACUGACGCUGAGGCGCGAGAGCGUGGGGAGCGAACAGG